This 1161-nucleotide long non-coding RNA is filed under the name Homo sapiens (human). RNAcentral describes it as "HSALNT0254149". The record is from RNAcentral. Lineage: Eukaryota; Metazoa; Chordata; Mammalia; Primates; Hominidae.
CAACAGAGCAAGACUCCGUCUCAAAAAACAAAAAACAAAACAAAAAACACAGAGAUGGGGGGCUGGCUAUGUUGUUCAGGCUGGUCUCAAACGCCGGGGCUCAAGCAGUUCUCCCACCUUGGCCUCCCAAAGUGCUGGGAUUACAGGUGUGAGCCACCACAUCUGGCCCGUAUUAUUAUUAUUUUUUUUUGAGACAGAGUCUCACUCUUGCCCAGAGCUGGAGUGCAGUGAUCUCAGCUCACCGCAACCUCCACCUCCCAGGUUCAAGCAAUUCUCCUGCCUCAGCCUCCCACAGUGCUGGGAUUAGACGUGAGCCAUCGUGCCCGGCCUCCCCUUGUAAUUUCUUGGCAAAGUCGGGUUUUCUGCCCCGUAGUGUCUCUGAACUUUUGGAUCUGCCCAGUGGUGUCCCCUGGGGGUGCCUGGCCUGCUCCCCAGCCCCUGGUGUCCCCUGUGAAACGGUAGUAAAGCGUAGACGCCAUGCUGUCAGGUGAGCCGACUGCUGCCGGCGGCUCUUCCAAUGUAAACGCUGCACAGCUGAGCCGUCAAAGCCUUUUCAUCAUACGGAAACUUCCAUCAGAUGCUGCUGACCCACAGGCACGAUGGGAUUCAAGUUUGGGUUUUUGGUGGUGCUGGAAUCCCGUGGGGAGGCCGUGGCUGGUGUGACCUCAGCAGCCAGACCCACCUACUCAUUAGGGGUCUGCACCAGGUUGCCCUGGCAGCUGUGGGGAGAACAGACCACGGGUGGUGCAGGGAGGACCCCGCAGAGGGGCCUGGGCUGGUCGAGGAUGUUGAUGGGGAAGGAGGCUGGGUUCGACGCUGGGCCCCAACCUGGGUAGGAGCUGUGGAGGGGUGAGCAGUGGGCAGUUCCCUGUGUUGCAGGUGGCGCCCCCCAGGGUUUUCGGGAGAAACAGGGUGUCAGAGGCAGUGACGACAGAGCUGCCUCCGCCUGGGGUGGGAAGAGCGAGUGGGGGCAGAUCAGGAGUGGGGUCAUGGACAUGUUAGAGUGGGGCUCCCGUGGGACCCCCAGGGGAGAGGCAGAGGAGGUGGUGGGAUAGGCGUCCAGCCCAGGGCGAGGUCCAGGUGGAGAUGGACUUGCCGGCGUUUAGAACAGAGGGUCUCCACCCGGGGUGAUCCUGCCCCCCGCCCCAGGGGACCCUGGAC